UAACCUGCCCGGAAGUGGGGAAUACCUCGGGGAAACUCGAGCUAAUGCCGCAUAAAAUCUCCGGGACGAAAGUCCUGGUGAUCAAAGCGGGGUCGCAAGAUCUCGCGCUACCGGAUGGGCCCGCGCCCGAUUAGCUAGUUGGUGAGGUAAUGGCUCACCAAGGCAGCGAUCGGUAACUGGUCUGAGAGGAUGACCAGUCACACUGGGACUGAGACACGGCCCAG
Molecule: ribosomal RNA, 224 nt
Filed under: uncultured bacterium
Lineage: Bacteria
Description: partial 16S ribosomal RNA
Rfam family: Bacterial small subunit ribosomal RNA
Source: RNAcentral